UGCCGACUUAGCUCAGUUGGUAGAGCAUCGCUCUUGUAAAGCGGGGUCGAAGGUUCGAGUCCUUUAGUCGGCAU
RNAcentral lists this transfer RNA (74 nucleotides) under Weissella viridescens. RNAcentral's name for it is "tRNA-Thr(tgt)". It matches the Rfam family "tRNA". From Rfam's summary of the family: Transfer RNA (tRNA) molecules are approximately 80 nucleotides in length. Lineage: Bacteria; Bacillati; Bacillota; Bacilli; Lactobacillales; Lactobacillaceae. The record is from RNAcentral.